GAUGAACGCUGGCGGCGUGCCUAAUACAUGCAAGUCGAGCGAACAGAUGAGGAGCUUGCUCCUCUGACGUUAGCGGCGGACGGGUGAGUAACACGUGGAUAACCUACCUAUAAGACUGGGAUAACUUCGGGAAACCGGAGCUAAUACCGGAUAAUAUAUUGAACCGCAUGGUUCAAUAGUGAAAGACGGUUUUGCUGUCACUUAUAGGUGGAUCCGCGCCGCAUUAGCUAGUUGGUAAGGUAACGGCUUACCAAGGCAACGAUGCGUAGCCGACCUGAGAGGGUGAUCGGCCACACUGGAACUGAGACACGGUCCAGACUCCUGCGGGAGGCAGCAGUAGGGAAUCUUCCGCAAUGGGCGAAAGCCUGACGGAGCAACGCCGCGUGAGUGAUGAAGGUCUUCGGAUCGUAAAACUCUGUUAUUAGGGAAGAACAAAUGUGUAAGUAACUAUGCACGUCUUGACGGUACCUAAUCAGAAAGCCACGGCUAACUACGUG
Molecule: ribosomal RNA, 497 nt
Filed under: uncultured bacterium
Lineage: Bacteria
Description: partial 16S ribosomal RNA
Rfam family: Bacterial small subunit ribosomal RNA
Source: RNAcentral